Molecule: ribosomal RNA, 382 nt
Filed under: Yersinia ruckeri
Lineage: Bacteria; Pseudomonadati; Pseudomonadota; Gammaproteobacteria; Enterobacterales; Yersiniaceae
Description: bacterial SSU rRNA
Rfam family: Bacterial small subunit ribosomal RNA
Source: RNAcentral
UCAGCGGAAAGUAGCUUGCUACUUUGCCGGCGAGCGGCGGACGGGUGAGUAAUGUCUGGGGAUCUGCCUGAUGGAGGGGGAUAACUACUGGAAACGGUAGCUAAUACCGCAUAACCUCGCAAGAGCAAAGUGGGGGACCUUCGGGCCUCACGCCAUCGGAUGAACCCAGAUGGGAUUAGCUAGUAGGUGGGGUAAUGGCUCACCUAGGCGACGAUCCCUAGCUGGUCUGAGAGGAUGACCAGCCACACUGGAACUGAGACACGGUCCAGACUCCUACGGGAGGCAGCAGUGGGGAAUAUUGCACAAUGGGCGCAAGCCUGAUGCAGCCAUGCCGCGUGUGUGAAGAAGGCCUUCGGGUGUAAAGCACCUCAUGCGAACCCCU